RNAcentral lists this ribosomal RNA (1346 nucleotides) under uncultured bacterium. Its description in RNAcentral is "bacterial SSU rRNA". It matches the Rfam family "Bacterial small subunit ribosomal RNA", at positions 28 to 1381 of the family's 1533-position model. The record is from RNAcentral.
GAUGAACGCUAGCGGGAGGCCUAACACAUGCAAGCCGAGCGGUAUUGUUUCUUCGGAAAUGAGAGAGCGGCGUACGGGUGCGGAACACGUGUGCAACCUGCCUUUAUCUGGGGGAUAGCCUUUCGAAAGGAAGAUUAAUACUCCAUAAUAUAUUGAACGGCAUCGUUUAAUAUUGAAAGCUCCGGCGGAUAGAGAUGGGCACGCGCAAGAUUAGCUAGUUGGUGAGGUAACGGCUCACCAAGGCGAUGAUCUUUAGGGGGCCUGAGAGGGUGAUCCCCCACACUGGUACUGAGACACGGACCAGACUCCUACGGGAGGCAGCAGUGAGGAAUAUUGGUCAAUGGGUGCAAGCCUGAACCAGCCAUCCCGCGUGAAGGACGACUGCCCUAUGGGUUGUAAACUUCUUUUGUAUAGGGAUAAACCUACCCUCGUGAGGGUAGCUGAAGGUACUAUACGAAUAAGCACCGGUUAACUCCGUGCCAGCAGCCGCGGUAAUUACGGAGGGUGCAAGCGUUAUCCGGAUUUAUUGGGUUUAAAGGGUCCGUAGGCGGACUUAUAAGUCAGUGGUGAAAGCCUGUCGCUGGUCGAUAGAACUGCCAUUGAUACUGUAAGUCUUGAGUAUAUUUGAGGUAGCUGGAAUAAGUAGUGUAGCGGUGAAAUGCAUAGAUAUUACUUAGAACACCAAUUGCGAAGGCAGGUUACCAAGAUAUAACUGACGCUGAGGGACGAAAGCGUGGGGAGCGAACAGGAUUAGAUACCCUGGUAGUCCACGCCGUAAACGAUGCUAACUCGUUUUUGGGCUUUAGGGUUCAGAGACCAAGCGAAAGUGAUAAGUUAGCCACCUGGGGAGUACGCUCGCAAGAGUGAAACUCAAAGGAAUUGACGGGGGCCCGCACAAGCGGUGGAUUAUGUGGUUUAAUUCGAUGAUACGCGAGGAACCUUACCAAGACUUAAAUGGGAAUUGACAGCUUUAGAAAUAGAGCUUUCUUCGGACAAUUUUCAAGGUGCUGCAUGGUUGUCGUCAGCUCGUGCCGUGAGGUGUUAGGUUAAGUCCUGCAACGAGCGCAACCCCUGUCACUAGUUGCCAUCAUUCAGUUGGGGACUCUAGUGAGACUGCCUACGCAAGUAGAGAGGAAGGUGGGGAUGACGUCAAAUCAUCACGGCCCUUACGUCUUGGGCCACACACGUAAUACAAUGGCCGGUACAGAGGGCAGCUACACAGCGAUGUGAUGCAAAUCUCGAAAGCCGGUCUCAGUUCGGAUUGGAGUCUGCAACUCGACUCUAUGAAGCUGGAAUCGCUAGUAAUCGCGCAUCAGCCAUGGCGCGGUGAAUACGUUCCCGGGCCU